UUGUAUUUCUCGCUGGUUUUCCUGAAAAGAGUUGGUUGUCAAAUCUUCAUCUGAUGCCACAGAGUUGGUAAUAUUUGCAACAUAUUUUUUGCUUACCAAUAUAUGUUCUUCCGACACUUCAUCUGAACCAUUUGUAGAGGGUAUCUUUACUGCAUCUGAACUCGAGGCAUUUUCCUGUUUGGCAGAAAUUUGUAAAUAAGUUUCACGAAGAGAUGCAAACUCAAGUUCAAAUAGCUUGAAAGUUUCUUGGCAUCAAGUUAUUACCUCAUGAGCUGCUAUGUCAACUGCAUUUGUCAUAUGAAGAUCCCUGAGGUAAAUUUCUUCUUCAUUUAACUCUGUAAUUUCUGCUUUGGUCUCAACAGCAUCAAUCUCUUUGGGUACCUGUAGAUUCCAUGAAAGGUGAAUCUGUGAUAGCAAUGUUUUGUUGUUUCCCCCUUAUUUUUAGGUCUACUAGGUUGUCAAUGCUGAAACGUCACAUAGCUACAACUAUCUGUUAGUUCAUAUUCAAACAAAUUUACAUCUCUAGUUGUACUUGUAAAUUUAAGUCUAUUAAAAAAAUUAUCCUCUUAAAUGUAUGUACCUUUUUCAUCCUUCAGUCAUGUAGUAUUUAUUUUCAUGCUUAACAGUGGUUUUCCUACCUAGUUGACAAUAAAGUUAAGAGUAUGAUUCUCACCUUAUCCUUAGAAGUUUCUUCACUCAGAUCAGUUGGAUCAGUUGUUUCGUCCUCUUUUUCCUCGGCCAUGUUUCCUGUAGGAUCUGCGAUUAGGCUUUGCUCCUCUAGAGAACUAAUUUCUCUAUCUUCACAUGAAGCAGGUGCUUUAAUAUCCCCGUCUGCAAAUUGCAUAGACUCGGUUUCUUCUUUUAUCAGUGUACCUUCUGCAGUUUUCUCAUUUUCAAACAAGUUUGCUUUUAUUAAGUUUUCAUCCACAAAUUUGGCCUGAUGCAUAAUUAUGGAGUCAUGAUCUUCGGCAUUUCCCAGAGGAGCUUCUUCCAAAGAAGGGUUUUGUGAGCUUUCUGCUUCGGUUGGUGAGUUAUCUUCAUCAUCUCCAUUUGGGACAUUUGUUGUAAUAUCCUAAAAUGACAGUAAAAGCUUGUUUUCAGGUUAAAGAAGAAAAAUUUAUUCUUCAUUUUGUGAUGUACUAAAUAAGCUAACAGUUAUAGAGAGAGAAUGAUUUUUACCUGAGCCUCAAGACAAUCCUCCUUUGCAUCAGUUACAUCAGUAGUUUGUUCAUUAAUUUCGUCACCCAAGGUUUCUUGUGCUUCUGCAGUUGGAGUUUCCACAUCGAUAGAACUUGGUGAGUUAUCUUCAUUCUGUUCCCUUUGAACAUCUGUGUCAACAUCCCGUACCUCAAGAGUUUGCCCCUCUGU
Molecule: long non-coding RNA, 1368 nt
Filed under: Erythranthe guttata (spotted monkey flower)
Lineage: Eukaryota; Viridiplantae; Streptophyta; Magnoliopsida; Lamiales; Phrymaceae
Description: long non-coding RNA (EGUT_LNC000197)
Source: RNAcentral